RNAcentral lists this unclassified non-coding RNA (356 nucleotides) under soil metagenome. RNAcentral describes it as "partial contains 5.8S ribosomal RNA, internal transcribed spacer 2, and large subunit ribosomal RNA". The stretch from base 1 to 120 matches the Rfam family "5.8S ribosomal RNA", at positions 35 to 154 of the family's 154-position model. The record is from RNAcentral.
GAUGAAGAACGUAGCGAAAUGCGAUAAGUAAUGUGAAUUGCAGAAUUCAGUGAAUCAUCGAAUCUUUGAACGCACAUUGCGCCCGCCAGUACUCUGGCGGGCAUGCCUGUUCGAGCGUCAUUUCAACCCUCGGGCCCCGCAUUCGUGCGGGCCCCGGCGUUGGGGACCGGCCUCCGCAUCGGACGGUCGCCCCCGAAACCCAGUGGCGGUCCCGCCGCGGCCUUCUCUGCGUAGUAGCAUACACCUCGCACUGGAGAGCGGCGCGGCCACGCCGUAAAAGAAACGAACUUUCUGAAGGUUGACCUCGGAUCAGGUAGGAAUACCCGCUGAACUUAAGCAUAUCAAUAAGCGGAGGA